This is a long non-coding RNA of Macaca nemestrina (pig-tailed macaque), 2841 nucleotides long. NCBI's taxonomy places the organism in Eukaryota, Metazoa, Chordata, Mammalia, Primates, Cercopithecidae. The record is from Ensembl.
AUGAAAAAGAUCAGAGGUCUGAGAGAGCUUGCUCUGUUGGAGGAACUACAUGUCAUGUAUUAUUACUGGAGCAUGAAUUCCGUGGAAGAGCAUUGGGAAAGGUCUUGGAUAUCAGGAGAGAGCAUUUGGAUAUCUUUCUGGAAGAGAUGGGAUUUCUAUUUUGGGCGGUUGGCACAAAGAGACGUCAGCGGAUGUUGGCAGAAACCAUGUUUCUCUCCAGCUGCUCCAAUGGAAAUCAUCAUGUUACAAAGUCCUGCUGAACUUACAAGUUACAUACAGGAAGAAAUUUGGGAAGACUCUUUCUUUCCAUUUCCAAAGAUGAAUGUUAUUGUCCUCAUUAAGAUAGAAACACUUUUUGGAUCCUAGUCUUCUCCAGAACCUUUCUCCCAUUGGAACACAAGCCUUUUGAAGGAAAAAAACUCUAGAAUUUGGAGGAAACUGGAAUUUUCAUCUGAGAAGCUUUAGAACUGUUCACAGUUCAACUUGCCUCAGUUUGCCUCACUGAGCCACUGAGUCACGCUGGUAUAAAAGGAGCGAAGGCAAAGCAAAAACAAGGACCUCACCUAAGGGAGAAAUGGGACAGAAGCCAUGUGCUCUGUGUGCUCUGUCACAGGGGGAUCCAGAUCCAGCCGCUGGCCGGAGCAAGAGGAGUUGUUUGCUGUGGGACUCUGAGCAAAGAGCAGUGACUUACCAAUGACCCUUCCUCUCCAUGCUUCCUGUGGGCUGUCUCCCCUUUUACAUAUUAUGGAACUGUCCCUUCCACAUAAAUCUAAACAUGGAUCCCCGUUUUUGCCCCUCCAAAAUGGGCUGGAAGACACAUCCCUGACCACAUCAUAACCCAGAAAGCCAGAUGCUGAUGACACACUUUGCAGCUGGGAUCCCUUUGCCUUGGUAUCUGGGACCACAACUGAGUACUUUCCAACUGUACUGUUACCUCAUUAUUAUUCAAAUGUAAUCUGUAUUGGCAUGUUAAUGAAGUAAAGAUUUGGAAAAGAAUUGUGUAUAUUCUUCAAAUCUAGAAAAAGUUUUGAUGGUUGUAUUCGCAAUGGAAAAGCGAUGUUUUAGAAAGAGGGAUGACAUUUUAUAACAUUAGAUGGCAUUCUCCUGGGGACAGGGGACCAGGAACAUUUGAAUCCUGCCUUAAUCUCACAGCUUUUUCCUGUAAUGUCUCCAUAAAAACAAGGGACCACAGCAAAUGAGAAAUUAAAGUCCACUUUAUUAUUAGCCUGGCCAACGCCAAAUAAACAAAUGCAGAACUUUCUGGUAAUUUGCUUAGGACACAUGGCAUACUCUCAGAUCACAGUCCAGACCACCAAACUCUAAAUUAAAUAUCUUAUCUUAGAAUCUUAGCAUCCUUGGGCUGCUCACAUGGAACAGGAGACAGAAGUAAUAAAUAAGGAACGUACUGCAUGGAAAAAGAAAUAAAAUUAACCUGGGGAAAUUUCAGAGACAGGGUCUUUUAUUAAAACAAGACAACAAACAAAUGAAAAGUACUCCACCAUAAAAAACAGCUUUUCUAUAAAAAGUUAUCUAUCAUCAGGCAGACAGAUCUUCUGAACCUAAUGCCUAAGUGAUAGAUAGAGAGGGAGUGUGUGUUCCAGCAUAAAACCCUGGGUACAAGAAGAAAAGAAGAGAUGGCUAAACUAAGGGCCUGUUACCAAUGUAGCCAUAAGAUUAAAGGAGAAAGUAAAGUUUAGCCUAUGACGAACUUCCCACUAGUGAAUAUGGACCACCCCAGCAGCAGAGAAUCCAACAUAGUUUAGUACCUCAGUUUCUUAGGAAAAAGUAAAGAAGAGGGCAAGAGGAUGAAGAAACUGUUUCCCCAACCCUGUACAAGUCAACGAUUGGUUAAAAGAGAAAGAAAGGCUUGUAUUUAUUUUGAGGUGGUUGUUUUAUUGUCGUCGUUAAUAUUACAGUUGUGAGUCCCUUGCACCUUGGAGGGGAAUUUAUACAGGAACUCCUGCAACCAUCACAAUUACAUCUUUUUUUAGAAUUAGGUAUUGUAAGAAGUCCACAGGUCUCAGCCCAUACAUUGAAUGGUUCAAGUUAAAAAAAUAAUAAUAACAACUUAACUCUUGUUAACCUUUGCCAAGCAAUCCUGACCCUCCCAGGGUGUGAGAAUCCAAGCAAGAAUCACAGCGACAGCUAUGCGGGUGUCAAAAAGGAGCCUCAGAAAGAUUAAUUUGACCAAGAUUUCUGUAUUAGUCCAUUCUCACGCUGCUAUGAAGAAAUACCUGAGACUGGGUAAUGGAUAAAGGAAAGAGGUUUAGUUGACUCACAGUUCUGCAGGGGUGAGGAGGCCCCAGAAAACUUAUAAUCAUGGCAGAAGGUGCCCUUUCACAGGGAAGCAGGAGAGAGAAUGGUGCCCAGCAAAGGGGGAAGCCUCUUAUAAAACCAUCAGAUCUCAUGAGACCCACUCACUAUCGUGAGAACAGCAUGAUGAAAACUGCCCCCAUGAUUCAAUUAUCUCCAUCUGGUCCUGCCCUUAACUUACACACAGGGAUUAUUACAUUUCAAGGUGAGAUUUGGGUGGGGACACAGAGCCAAAUCAUAUCUAUCUCAUAGCUAAUAAAUGUGAUCUUGGCUGUAAGUCCAGAUUCUAUGCUACAGUCAUUUAAAAAGAAAAAAAUUGAGGUUCUUAUACCAGAAUUGCACAAUUAAUUACAACAGGUUUUGGAAAUCACUUGAUUUUUUUGUCUCAUUAGCCAUUGCAAUUUGGCCUGCAUAAAAGUAUUCAAAGUAGAUACUGAAUUACUCUAUUUUUUCUGUAUACAAAUAGAGCCAAGCAGGCAUUGCUCACCAUGUUCUUUGUAGCAUUCUCUAAAUAAUUUUUCUUUUGAU